RNAcentral lists this non-coding RNA (46 nucleotides) under Schistosoma mansoni. Lineage: Eukaryota; Metazoa; Platyhelminthes; Trematoda; Strigeidida; Schistosomatidae. The record is from RNAcentral.
GCACUGCUGAGGAGUCCCAUAAUAGAACGAAACGGCCGUUCAGUAC